This 567-nucleotide ribosomal RNA is filed under the name uncultured bacterium. RNAcentral's name for it is "bacterial SSU rRNA". It matches the Rfam family "Bacterial small subunit ribosomal RNA", at positions 9 to 577 of the family's 1533-position model. The record is from RNAcentral.
GAGUUUGAUCAUGGCUCAGGAUGAACGCUAGCGGCAGGCUUAACACAUGCAAGUCGAGGGGUAUAGUUCUUCGGAAUUAGAGACCGGCGCACGGGUGCGUAACGCGUAUGCAAUCUACCUUUCACAGAGGGAUAGCCCAGAGAAAUUUGGAUUAAUACCUCAUAGUAUAACGACUCCGCAUGGAGAUGUUAUUAAAGUCACAACGGUGAAAGAUGAGCAUGCGUCCCAUUAGCUAGUUGGUAAGGUAACGGCUUACCAAGGCGACGAUGGGUAGGGGUCCUGAGAGGGAGAUCCCCCACACUGGUACUGAGACACGGACCAGACUCCUACGGGAGGCAGCAGUGAGGAAUAUUGGACAAUGGGCGCAAGCCUGAUCCAGCCAUGCCGCGUGCAGGAUGACGGUCCUAUGGAUUGUAAACUGCUUUUGCACAGGAAGAAACAACGCUACGUGUAGCGUCUUGACGGUACUGUGAGAAUAAGGAUCGGCUAACUCCGUGCCAGCAGCCGCGGUAAUACGGAGGAUCCCAGCGUUAUCCGGAAUCAUUGGGUUUAAAGGGUCCGUAGGCG